UGCAUGAAGUCGGAAUUGCUAGUAAUCGCGGAUCAGCAUGCCGCGGUGAAUACGUUCCCGGGCCUUGUACACACCGCCCGUCACACCAUGGGAGCCGGUAAUACCCGAAGUCAGUAGUCCAACCACGUGAGGACGCUGCCGAAGGUAGGAUUGGCGACUGGGGUGAAGUCGUAACAAGGUAGC
RNAcentral lists this ribosomal RNA (183 nucleotides) under uncultured bacterium. RNAcentral describes it as "partial 16S ribosomal RNA". It matches the Rfam family "Bacterial small subunit ribosomal RNA", at positions 1317 to 1500 of the family's 1533-position model. The record is from RNAcentral.